AGGCCUGAGGUCCUUUCGAGAAACGCGAGGAACACGGAACGGCCAAGGCUUCCGGGGAGGAGAGGACGGCGGCCCCGCACCUUUGUUUCCAGAGGUUUCCAGGCGUUUUCUGGCCGGAUCCCAGGGCCUCGUGCGAUGGGCCGGGCUGGACACCGCACGCUUCAAAGUCACGUUUGGGAUGCUUCUUGCUGACUGUACCUUCAAGAGGAACUGGUUCUUGGAACGAUGCCUCCGUCUUCCAAUCUGACCAGUUGCAGCUUACCGUGUUAGCUAUCAAGUGGGAAGACCGGUGAACUCAAGGUUGCUUGUCGGACCUGAGCCACACCAGGGAAUGCAAUCACCAGAGCAUCUCAGGAUGUAGAAGGUGCGUAGAAGAGAGAGAGUGAACGGAGGAGGGACAGACACACAGAAUCGGAAGCAGACUCCAGUCUCUGAGCUGUCAGCACAGACCCCGAUGUGGGGCUCGAACCCACGAGCCGCAAGAUCACGACCCGAGCCGAAGCCGGAUGGAUGCUCAGCCGACUGAGCCACCCAGGCACCACCCCACCGCUCACUCCUUCUUCAGCUACGGCGAUCCCCUAAAAAUGAUGCCCGGCUCAGACUUCUAGAAAGAUAUUCAAGCAUUUUUAGCAGCGUUUCUCAUGCUUCAAGUGCGUAUGAGCCACCUGGGGAAUUAUGCAGAUUUUUAUAAAUUUAUUAUGCAGGAUUAUGAGGUCUGAGUUUCUGCAUUUCUGACACACGUGUAGGUGACGCCAGGGCGCCUGCUUCAGGGACCGCACUUUGAGUAGCAGGGUUUUAUAUGGCUGCGAGAUGGAAGGUGUUACUCUGCUGGGAACUUCAGCCCCCGGCAACUCCCAUUCUCCUUUCUGUCUCAAUAACUUUGAUGACCCUAAGCAUGUCAUGUGUAGUAACCCAGAAACCCAGAGAUAAAGGUCCAGAGGGAAGGAAGCACGAAACUCUCGACGUUUUCAGUACGCCCGAGGGAAGCCGUGUGAAAGGCUCCCAACCGGAGAAUGAAGAUCACUGAGUUCCAGAAACAUUUAAGAAAGUUUGGGAUUAUUGGACUCAGAAGCUGCCGUAGUCACACUGCGUGCUCACCUUGGAAUGAUGUCCAGGAAGCUCACUAUGUUUCCAGGAUUCACUUUCACGUCUUUAAAGCUGAUCUCUUCCCCUUCGAAGUGUGACAGGCCCGGUCUGGAUGAACGGGGCCCGCCUCCUGGACCGCAAGUGCCUGCCCAUGGAGCUUCUAAGGAGGAUCCUGUCACCCUAGUGGACCACACCUCUGACCUCCAGAGACACAGCAACACCUACCAAAUAGAGGUGACGUUUCAAACAGAGCCAUGGAACGGCCAUGGAGAACAGGAGCGUCUUUCUGGAUCAGGUAGACCUACCUGGAUCAGUGAACGUCAGGUGAACGGGAGAAACCAAGGUGGGCAGAUGCCUGCCUGAAAGCCAACUUAAUCGUUCAUAACGCUAAGCAGGAUUGCCGUGUAGACCAGAUGUACAAACGUCACGGCAGCCAUUCUCUUUCCGAAGUCAAGAUGCGAGAGUAUCCGGGAAGCAUCUGGAGCCAUCCGUUUGCAAGGAGAGAGCACCAGGAAUAUAAGCGCCACCAGGGCAAGAAUGUCUGUUUAUUUACGCUAUAUGAGUAAAUUACAGCGCUGGGAUUGAGAACGAUGUCGCCGCAGUCCAACUACCUCGGCCUGAAUCUCAGUUGAAUCAGCUGGUGGACUUUGGUAAGUUAAUAUUUAGCUGUUUUUGUGCCUCCGUAGCCCCAUCUGUAAAAUGGGGGGGGGGGGCAAAUCAACGAUUACGCCUGCAUCAUGGGUUUGUUGUCGUAAAAGAGGCGACACGGGAGAAGUUUUGAGAGCAGCGACGAGUGGAGAGCAAAUGUUCAAUAAACGAAGCUUAGCGCUAGCCAUUGUGGAUGAUAAUGUACACAGUUGCGUAUCAAUCACCUUGUGAAGCAGAAGUAGGACUGGAGAGGCACGUACAUUAAGUAGUUUUUAAGAAGUUGAACAAGUGGAGGCACCUGGGUUAGGCAUCCCACUUGGGCUCAAGUCAUGCUCUCACGGUUUGUGGGUUCGAGCCCCGUGUCGGGCUCUGUGCUGACAGCUCGGAGCCUGGAGCCUGCUUGCGAUUCUGCAUCUCUGUCCCUCUCUGCCCCUCCCCUGCUUGUACUCUGUCUCUCUCUGUCUCUUAAAAACAAACAUUAAAGAGUUGAACAAGUGAAUAGCAGUAAAGGAAAAGGGAGAAGGUUGGAUUCAAAACCAGCCCCCGGGACUCCACUGCACCAUUAAGGGGGGGCUGUAUCUGUGGCUUUCAAAGAUGUCAUUAUUGCCAACAAGUCAAGGUUAACAUGGGGCUGGAACCUGAAGAAUGUGAUUUACCAUUUCCCAAACUCUGUUCCAUGGAACACCAGCCUAAGAACAGGCUCCCAGGAAAACAUGUUCAAAUAAGGUUUGAGAACACUAAACACUAUAUCCCUCCUUAGAUAUUAUCAGCAAAGGUCAUCAUAUUAGAGGCUCUGUGAAGUCCUCCUGUAAAGGGUCCCGUUUAACUGUCUCACGUGUUCUCUUUAAGAAUAUAUUUAACUAUAGGGGCGCCUGAGUGGCCCAGUCGGUUGGGCAUCUGACUUCGGCUCAGGUCAUGAUCUCACAAUCUGUGAGUUCGAGCCCCACGUUGGGCUCUGUGCUGACAGCUCAGAGCCUGGAGCCUGCUUCGGAUUCUGUGUCUCCCUCUCUCUGCCCCUCCCCUGCUCAUGCUCUGUCUGUCUCAAAUAAAAACGUUAAAAAAAAUUUUUUUAAAGAAUGUAUUUAACUAUAGAAUUCUUUGUGUAUGUUAUGUCUACCAACAAUCUGCAGAGAUUAUUUGGAAAAACACCAAUGUAACAAAAUUGACCCAAACCAGGUGUUGGCUGCUGGUGGGAGGUGAGUCAGACCAGUGGGGGCUGAUAUCUUGAGGACGGAAAGAUCUGCCCAAUUGGGGCAGCCAAUUGGAAACCAACCCAACAGCAGGAGGCCAUGGGAACGUGCAUUCAUGAAAGAGUCUAGAAUAUCAUGGCGGUAGGAAAAUGGAGGCCCAGACAAGCAGCAGCAACAUGACAGACAGCACUGGGGAGUGACCAGAGGUAGUGCCUGGGUUUUCUGACACCCCGUAGAGCUCAGCAACUGCGAAAUCUGGCAGAGGGCCAUAUGCUAAUGUUCAAGGAGGGAAUGAGAAUGCCAGGGGCUAGUUGGUAAAGGAAUCUCAAAUUUAAGUGUGAGGUUCAGGGAUGGAACCAUGAAAACAAGCAGUGAAUUCAUCUCUAGGGACCAGAAAUGCUCCUGCAGAAUUUGGCAAAGAGGCAAAAUUGAUCCAGACAAGGUUAAAAAGUGGGCUUGGAAUUUCCAGAAGCUUCGCGUCAAGGAGCAAAGUGAUAGUCUAGCGAUGCCAUGUAGAGAAGAAGACUAAAUGUGACCCCUUAAAUCCUGCAUGAUUUAGAAUUCAUGGUCACAGACCUGAGCUGAGCCCACAGGUGAGAGCCAAGAGGCUGUGACUGUGGGAAAAAGACGUACAAGGAUCGAGGCGCCAAGGUGGUCAUUACAGAGUGGAAAGUCAACACAUCCGUGAGGCAUAUUCAUAUAGCAGGUGGCUAAGGGUCCACGGGUAUGCCUCCUUUUUGCAUCCUACGCCUCGGAUCCCCAGCUGAGUGCUGUCUGCACUACAGCAGAUUGCAUCUCUGAGCUAGCUGGCAUCCCACGAUGCACUUUGCAGCCCCAAGGUUGGAUUUAUAGCCUGUGGCACCCAGCAGGGUAAUCACCCUCCUGUUUGGGCUGUUCUGCACCAUUUCCUAGGGACAGACUCCCCUCCCAGAGCGGUUGAGGUACUUUGGCACUCUAAGAAUGCAACUCUAUAGACUUGGUUGAUGUCCAAGUUAAGUUUUUAAGCAAGAGAACUUGGCAUUAAAUUACCCCGAGUGACUGUCAUCACUCUGAAGCCAGCAAAAGUGACUCUGCUCAAUAAAGUUUUGAGAAAUAUGUUGAACCUUGGGCAAAUUUAUGAUUCUCUUUUCUCAACUCAUGGUUAAGACUAUUAAGCCAAAGAAUUUUUCCCUCUGUCUCUGCUGGAACUAGAUAAAGCUGUUGCCAUACCAUUAUACUCCAAAAUAUCCAGUUAGGAAAUGUGGCCGGCAUUUCUUUAAAAAUUUGUAUUAGAUAAAGCAGAAUGCAAUUAACACGGAAUAAGGCAGACAUUUAGCAAAUUGCUGUGAGAACAGGGAGAGGAAAGAAUGAUUCUGUUUAGAAUGAUAAUCAAGGAAGCAUUCAUGGAAGAGACACCUUUGAGUUAGGCUUUGAAAGGUAAAGAAAAGAAUAAUGCAUUGCUGAUUUACUUGCUGGCCUCCAGAGGGUUUCAAUCUGGGGAACCUAUCUCAGGGGGAUCUCAGAGAGAGUUAAAAAAGAGUCGCUUUGCUUUUAGCUCUAAUAUUCUGGCCCCAAGUUAAUGACCACUUAGGUAAGAAUGAGAGCCAUUACCGGGUUCUACUCCUGAAACCAAUACUACAUUGUAUGUUAACUAACUUGAAUUUAAAUAAAUAAGUUAAAAAAAAAAAAAGAAAGAAAGCAGUUCUUUCAUUUCUCUUAGCUUUGAGCUUCCUUGGGAGAGGGCCAUAACAAGCAUUUUGUUUUGUUUUCCUUUGUAAUGUGGAGGAAGACUGAAAAGCCAGAGGGUCAACUCUAAAGACUCUGUGUGCAAAUGUUGAUGGGGAUUGACAUCAUUAAGCCCGUGGAAGGGAGAGGUUGCAGAUUAGUGCAGUUGCAGAGGAGGAAUCAAUUGACCUGGAGAAGAAUGUGGCAAAAGAGCCUUGCGUGCCUCGGGAAUGGGGGUCCUCUUGGAUGCAACAAGCCAGGGGUAGCAAGACCUCGCAUGAAUGUGGUUUGGUGGCACCUUGAAACCCCGGAUGGAGAAGAUAAAGGCCGGCGAAACUGACUAGGAAACACAAAGACCAUAGACAGCGAAAGCACAUUAACUCUCAGGGGCAUCAGAUACCAGAAUACUCUAAAGACCAGACUCCUCCCCCAUUUUUUUAGAGCCAACAGAAUAGGGAAGAAAUCUUCCAUUGUUACUUGACGUUGAAUUCCAUGUGGAGUCUGGCGUGUGAGGGCUGUAAACCAGAUUCUAAUCCGAUUUAUAAAAAUGAAGAAAUAUUACAGUUUUCCACAUUGAGUAUCAUGGGAAAAUUCAUGACUGUCAUAUUUCAAAAUCUGCAAUGGUACAUUAGAAUUCCGUAUCUAAUUUCCAAGCUAUUCUGCUGAAAGCAUCUUCAAUUUUUAUAUGCAUCUUGGAGUCAUUAACAGCUAUGUCUUUGGAAUCAGAAAGAAGUAGUUUGAAUAAUAACUGUGCUUCUAACAUGAUUUAUAAACAAAAGUCACUUAAUAUUUUUGAGCUUCAGGUGCCUCCUGUGGAAAUGGGGAUACCUACCCAACAGGGUUAUCGUGAUGUUAAUUGGAUAAUCCAUUUCUGAAAAAAGAGCUUAAUUUCUUAGCCGGCACUUAGAAUGCCUUCAACAAGCGGUAGCUUCUGUGAUUAUUUUUGUGCUGCUGGGGUUGGGGCCAGGAGUCUGGUCACCUAGGCUCUAUCAACACUGGGCCAGGAGCUUGGGAAAAUCACCUGCAUGUCAGUGUCCCCCAUCUUUCCACCUGAGACGCUUGGGAAUGACAAAUGACCUCACGCCAUGCUCAGGAGGGAAAGGGUAAUCUUCCUUCCCUGGUGGGAUUUAUUCCUAUUUCUGGAGGGAAUGUGAAUUCAGGAUAAGCUGUGGUCUAGGUAGCUCUUUUGCAAGAGGUAGGAGAGAAUUUCUACUUCUCAAAUGUCUUUUUUUUUUAAUGUUUAUUUUUGAGAGAGAGAGAGAGUUUCACAAGUAGGGGAGGGAAAAAGAGAAGGGACAGAGGAUCUGAAGCAGGCUCCGUGCUGACAGCAGAGACCCCGGUGAGGGGCUUGAAUUCACAAACCAUGAGAUCAUGAUCUGAGCUGAAGUCGGAUGCUUAAUUGACUGCCUGCCACCCACGCGCCCCUAAUUCUCAUUUGCUAACGUGCAUACAAAUCUCCCGGUGUUUUAGAGAUUUUAUCUUUUUAAGUACUCUCUCCACCCACUGUGGGACUUAAACCCACGACCCCAAGAUCGAGAGUCACAUGCUCUACCAACUGAACCAGGCAGGCACCCCUAAAUCUUCUGGUGUUUUAAAAUACAGUUUGUUAAUAGAAAGUUUGAAGUAUUGUAAGGCCAACGAAUCAGGAGGUGACUGCCAUCAAAAGAAUGGUUUAUUACUCACAGUUCCCCGAGAAGGAGGUAGUACACCAUGCUGUGGGGGACAUACCCAAGGUCAGUCACUGGUCAGAGAGAGAAGGGAGAGCUGUGGCUAGUUUUAGGUGUUUCCUCAGAAAGGAAGGGGUGAACCAGUGUAAAAAGGCUUACACUUAGUUAGGUAAUUUCAGUGGUCUCUGGGGCAAAGGGGCCAUCCCUAGUUGUCUGGUACCUUCUCCCCUAGUGCAGUGAUUAGAAUAGUGGCCUGGAGAAUGAGAGCCCCAUAAAGAAGGUGGUUGGGGUGCGGGCUCUGGACUGGUUGCUUUGUAACUGAAAAGCAAGCUUGGGGGCGAGUGCCCAUUCACUUUGGGAAUUGGCUAGCCCUGGGAGGGGCCCUCCAGGCUCUGCAAGCCCCCAGAUGUCAGCAUCAGAACUACAGAAAAUAAAAGACACCAUUAAUACACCAGGGAAUCUUAUUAAAACACAGAAUUCUGAGCCUCACGACUGAGAUUCUGACUUGCUUGGCCUGAAGAUGAAGCUUAUUUGUUUGCAUUUCUUUUUUUUUUUUAACGUUUAUUUAUUUUUGAGACAGAGAGAGACAGAGCGUGAGCGGGGGAGGGGCUGAGAGAGAGGGAGACACAGAGUCUGAAUCAGACUCCAGGCUCUGAGCUGUCAGCACAGAGCCUGAUACGGGGCUUGAACCCACCAACUGCGAGAUCAUGACCUGAGCUGAAGUGGGACACCCAACUGACUGAGCCACCCAGGCGCCCCUCAUUUGUUUGCAUUUCUGAUCAGCCCCCAAGUGACCCUACAUGCGGCUGGUUUGUGGAUUAUACUCUGAAGGAAGAUGAGCGAACGGCAUUGUUAGCACCCCAGAAAACAUACUCCAAGUAGAGGCAAUCUGUUCUCCAACAGCUCCCAUCCCGGAUGAGGAUAGCAGAGGGAAAUAGAUCCUCACGCUGCCCCCGCUGUGCACAGAACCGGGUGAAAGGGUCUGGUUACUAGAGGUCUUCGUUUCAGCUCUUCAAAUGUAGAGACGUUAAGGUCAAAUUAAACAUGUUGGUGGUCUCAGUAUAAUUCAAAACGAUUGAGCCUACCCCCCAAAGGCACUUGGGCACUUAGCGGGAAGGAGAAUUCCAUUAGUUAAUUGACCACCAACCAUUCGGAGAACUUCCCCUAUGCGAAGGAGUGGACCAGGUGCUGGGGAGAUUUUAUUUUCAGUUUUACUCAAACAUAACACAAAACCUAAGUGCACAGUUUAAUGAGUCUUGAAAAGGCAAGGCAUGUAACCACAACCCAGAUCAAGGAAUAGAACAUUCACCAGGGCCACAGAAGGCUCCCUGAUCCCCAACCCUGCCAGUUACUGGGCCCCCAACAAUCCUGACUUCUAUCACCAGAAAUUGGUUUUGCCUGGUUUUGAACUUUAUGUGAAUUAAGUCAUAGAGUGUAAAUGCUUAUGUCUUUUGUGUCUGGCAUCUUCCACUCCACACUGUGAGGUCUGUGUGGUGCUUUGCACAGUCAUGGUUCAUUCUCAUUGCUGUGUAGUUUUCCAUUGUGUGAAUAAACCACACUUCUUCCAACCUACUGGUGGUGGACAUUUGGGGGCGGUUCUAUUUUGAGGCACUGUUAUGAGUAUUCUUUUUUUUAAUUUAUUUUAACCUUUAAUAAAUUAACUUAUUUUUUAAGUUUAUUUACUUAUUUUGAGAGAGAGAGAGAGAGUGAGACUGGGGGAGAGGCAGAGAGAGAGAAACCCCUACAGGCUCUGCACUGUCAUGAACCCUGAGAUCAUGGCCUGAGCUGAAACCAAGAGUCAGAUGCUCAACUGACUGAGCCACCCAAGUGUCCCAAAUUAAUUUAUUAUUUUAAUUUUUAGAGAGUGGGGGAAGGAGCAGAGUAAGAGAGAGAGAAUCUUUAAGCAGUUUCCAUGCUCAGCACAGAGCCCGAGGUAGGACACAAUUCCCAGAUGCUGGGAUUAUGACCUGAGCCGAAAUCAAGUCAGACCCUCAACCGACUGAGCCACCCAGGGUCCCCAAUGUUACAAGCAUUAAAAAAAAUUUUUUAACACUUAUUUAUUUUUGAGAGACAGAGUGAGACAGAGCAUGAGCGGGGGAGGCGCAGAGAGAGAGGGAGAACAUAGAAUCUGAAGCAGGCUCCAGGCUCCAAGCUGUCAGCACAGAGCCCAAUGGGGGGCUCGAACCCACGGACCAUGAGAUCAUGACCUGAAGCAAAGUCGGACGCCUAACCGACUGAGCCACCCAGGCACCCCUGUUAUGAGCAUUCUUAUUCAUGUCCCAUAGGGACUGUUGGGUAUAUACCUAGGAGCAGAUUCUGUGCAUCACGAGAAUUUGUAUUUAGCCCAAACGACUUCCAAAGCGAUCAUGCCAGCUUGCACGUGCAUCAGCAAUGAAUGAAAGUUCCGGUCGCUCCACACGCUUGUCAACAUGUACUCUCAACAGCCCUUGUCAUUUUAACGAUUCUGGUGGCUGUGUUGUGGUAUCAUGUCUUGAGUUUUUAAUGGGUACAGGUGGAGAAUGUCGGCAAGGAGAAUAGAGUGAACGGGAGUGUGGAGGUGAGGAACCUCUAGUCAUACUAGGGCAGCUAACCUGGGGGAAACGUUUCCGUGGAUGAGAAAUGUCUUUCAGCAGGAGCUGCAGUGGGACAGGCCAUCAGUGCUCUCCUCCGGGUAUGUUUGAAGCAAUGCUUGAAGCAAGAGGCUAAAAAUCGGAGAAUUAAGUACAACGUGAGUGUUGAAUUAGGCGUCCGGAAACUGCAAACAGAGAAUCCACAUAUUCAUAAGAAAGAAAAUUACCAAGCUUUCGCUAUGUGUUAGAAGCUGUGUUACCUGGACACUGUGGAUAUAAAAGUAAAUAAUGUUCAGAAGAGAUGAGUAAGGUUGGGGCA
Molecule: long non-coding RNA, 9184 nt
Organism: Acinonyx jubatus (cheetah)
Lineage: Eukaryota; Metazoa; Chordata; Mammalia; Carnivora; Felidae
Exons: 9
Source: RefSeq, a predicted model, not a curated record